RNAcentral lists this ribosomal RNA (497 nucleotides) under uncultured bacterium. RNAcentral's name for it is "partial 16S ribosomal RNA". It matches the Rfam family "Bacterial small subunit ribosomal RNA", at positions 28 to 507 of the family's 1533-position model. The record is from RNAcentral.
GAUGAACGCUGGCGGCGUGCCUAAUACAUGCAAGUCGAGCGAACAGACGAGGAGCUUGCUCCUCUGACGUUAGCGGCGGACGGGUGAGUAACACGUGGAUAACCUACCUAUAAGACUGGGAUAACUUCGGGAAACCGGAGCUAAUACCGGAUAAUAUAUUGAACCGCAUGGUUCAAUAGUGAAAGACGGUUUUGCUGUUACUUAUAGAUGGAUCCGCGCCGGAUUAGCUAGUUGGUAAGGUAACGGCUUAACAAGGUAACGAUGCGUAGCCGACCUGAGAGGGUGAUCGGCCACACUGGAACUGAGACACGGUCCAGACUCCUACGGGAGGCAGCAGUAGGGAAUCUUCCGCAAAGGGCGAAAGCCUGACGGAGCAACGCCGCGUGAGUGAUGAAGGUCUUCGGAUCGUAAAACUCUGUUAUUAGGGAAGAACAAAUGUGUAAGUAACUAUGCACGUCUUGACGGUACCUAAUCAGAAAGCCACGGCUAACUACGUG